AAGGUGAAGAUUUGAGAUAAAGACGACUCCACCCAGAUCCUAUGCUUCCUUGCCUGGUCUUUCUCUCCGUCUUCCCACGCACACAAAAAUACAAUACACAACGCAGAGACUUCAUAGGGAGACCGAGGACUAGACGGACCCGGGAUAGGGGAAGCCAGCUUCAAGGGUUACAUAUAUAUGUAUGAGGCGUGGUAAGUAUCACAUAUUUAAUAUGGAACAACUUCAAAAUGCAAAAAAAUUGUUUCCUAAAUAAUUCCCAUUCAUCACACCAUUUUCGUAAUUAGGUUCGGAUAACAAACAGAAAAAGCAAACAAUAAAACUCUUAUAUAUCUUCUAUGAAUACAAAAUAAUAUUGUGGUUUAGUAAAAAACAGAAAAAGAAAAACAGUCACGUGGCAACAUGACGCGUCAGCGACUCAGGAAGUAAACAGAUCCAUGUCUGUCUCCAACACAGAAGCACAACGAUGAAAAAGUCUCACUGAAGAAAAUCAAACAAAAAUAGUCUUACCAAGUGUCGUAUGUCCAUGUCUCUGUGUGGGUACCCCCAAGUACUUACCAAGUGUCGUAUGUCCAUGUUUCUGUGUGGGUACCCCCAAGUACUGUGGAGUUUACGAGGCUGCAUAGAUGAACUUUUCGGCCUCUGCUGAAUUGUCAAAAAAAGUGUUGUUGGGAGCCUUUGGAUAGUUUGAUUGUUGCUGGAUAGAUGAGAAAGGCUUCAAAGCCAUCUUUUCGAGCGCUGUACAUAGUGGAGUAGCAGCCAAGGCAGGGAACCACUUGGGGAUGUUGGCGGACAAGAUGACAACAGUCCCCUCUGGUGGCUGGAUGUGGAAUGACGACAGCAACACUGGAGUUUAAAGGAGGGCGCCAAAGCUGAAGGAAGAGCCUGAGUGCAGCCCGUUUGAAUGCUGCUGCAAAGGCAAGGCGACCACGUCACUAUUGAUGACGUCAAAC
Molecule: long non-coding RNA, 950 nt
Organism: Entelurus aequoreus (snake pipefish)
Lineage: Eukaryota; Metazoa; Chordata; Actinopteri; Syngnathiformes; Syngnathidae
Exons: 3
Source: RefSeq, a predicted model, not a curated record